RNAcentral lists this small RNA (177 nucleotides) under Mytilus galloprovincialis (Mediterranean mussel). Lineage: Eukaryota; Metazoa; Mollusca; Bivalvia; Mytilida; Mytilidae. The record is from RNAcentral.
AGACAUAUAGAUUCUACCACUGCAUCGAGUGUGAUACGAUAUUUAUCCACUCGAGACAAUUAAAUUUUCAAAUUUAAAACGCUUGGCUCGCCGAGCGUUUUAAAUAUUUAAAAUUUAACUGUCGAGAGUGGAUAAAUAUCGUAUCACACUCGAUGCAGUGGUAGAAUCUAUAUGUCU